RNAcentral lists this ribosomal RNA (301 nucleotides) under uncultured bacterium. Its description in RNAcentral is "partial 16S ribosomal RNA". It matches the Rfam family "Bacterial small subunit ribosomal RNA", at positions 509 to 809 of the family's 1533-position model. The record is from RNAcentral.
CAGCAGCCACGGGAAUACGGAGGUGGCAAGCGUUGUCCGGAAUUAUUGGGCGUAAAGGGCUCGCAGGCGGUUUCUUAAGUCUGAUGUGAAAGCCCCCGGCUCAACCGGGGAAGGUCAUUGGAAACUGGGAAACUUGAGUGCAGAAGAGGAGAGUGGAAUUCCACGUGUAGCGGUGAAAUGCGUAGAGAUGUGGAGGAACACCAGUGGCGAAGGCGACUCUCUGGUCUGUAACUGACGCUGAGGAGCGAAAGCGUGGGGAGCGAACAGGAUUAGAUACCCCUGUAGUCCCUGUCUCUUAUAA